This 279-nucleotide microRNA precursor is filed under the name Medicago truncatula (barrel medic). Its description in RNAcentral is "MIR2655 microRNA precursor family". It matches the Rfam family "MIR2655 microRNA precursor family". The record is from Rfam by way of RNAcentral. Lineage: Eukaryota; Viridiplantae; Streptophyta; Magnoliopsida; Fabales; Fabaceae.
CCCUUAACUAUUAAAAGUUUCGUUUUGGUCCUUUAACUUACUUUUUGGUUUCGUUUUGGUCCCUUAACUCUUCCUCCGUCAACUACUUUGGUCCUUUAUGUUAGGAUGAAUGUAUUAGAGUUAAGGGACCAAAAUGAAACCAAAAAAUAAGUUAAGGGACCAAAACGAAACCAAAAAAUAAGUUAAGGGACCAAAACAAAACUUUUAAUAGUUAAGAGACCAAAAGAAAACCCAAAAAUAAGUUAUGGGACCGAAACGAAACUUUUAAUAGUUAAGGAA